GCCACGCUGAUGCGAUUUCGGUCAAUCGUGUGGCAUUCGAGUGGCGGACGGGUGAGUAACGCGUGGGUAACCUGCCUUACACAGGGGGAUAACACCUGGAAACAGGUGCUAAUACCGCAUAAGCGCACAGGGCCGCAUGGCCCGGUGUGAAAAACUCCGGUGGUGUAAGAUGGACCCGCGUCUGAUUAGCUUGUUGGCGGGGUAGGGGCCCACCAAGGCGACGAUCAGUAGCCGGCCUGAGAGGGUGGACGGCCACAUUGGGACUGAGACACGGCCCAAACUCCUACGGGAGGCAGCAGUGGGGGAUAUUGGACAAUGGGGGAAACCCUGAUCCAGCGACGCCGCGUGAGUGAAGAAGUAUUUCGGUAUGUAAAGCUCUGUCAGCAGGGAAGAAAGAAAUGACGGUACCUGACCAAGAAGCCCCGGCUAACUACGUGCCAGCAGCCGCGGUAAUACGUAGGGGGCAAGCGUUAUCCGGAAUUACUGGGUGUAAAGGGAGCGUAGACGGUGAUGCAAGUCUGGAGUGAAAGGCGGGGGCCCAACCCCCGGACUGCUCUGGAAACUGUGUAACUUGAGUGCAGGAGAGGUAAGCGGAAUUCCUAGUGUAGCGGUGAAAUGCGUAGAUAUUAGGAGGAACACCAGUGGCGAAGGCGGCUUACUGGACUGUAACUGACGUUGAGGCUCGAAAGCGUGGGGAGCAAACAGGAUUAGAUACCCUGGUAGUCCACGCCGUAAACGAUGAUUACUAGGUGUCGGUGG
RNAcentral lists this ribosomal RNA (759 nucleotides) under uncultured bacterium. RNAcentral describes it as "bacterial SSU rRNA". It matches the Rfam family "Bacterial small subunit ribosomal RNA", at positions 61 to 829 of the family's 1533-position model. The record is from RNAcentral.